RNAcentral lists this ribosomal RNA (549 nucleotides) under Ornithinimicrobium sp. EBKC83. Its description in RNAcentral is "bacterial SSU rRNA". It matches the Rfam family "Bacterial small subunit ribosomal RNA", at positions 366 to 919 of the family's 1533-position model. The record is from RNAcentral. Lineage: Bacteria; Bacillati; Actinomycetota; Actinomycetes; Micrococcales; Ornithinimicrobiaceae.
GGUCACGGGGCGCAGCCUGAUGCAGCGACGCCGCGUGAGGGAUGACGGCCUUCGGGUUGUAAACCUCAAACAGCUCUGACGAAGCCCGCUUGCGGGUGACGGUAGGAGCAGAAGAAGCACCGGCUAACUACGUGCCAGCAGCCGCGGUAAUACGUAGGGUGCGAGCGUUGUCCGGAAUUAUUGGGCGUAAAGAGCUUGUAGGCGGCUUGUCGCGUCUGCUGUGAAAGCCCGGGGCUUAACCCCGGGUCUGCAGUGGGUACGGGCAGGCUAGAGUGUGGUAGGGGAGACUGGAAUUCCUGGUGUAGCGGUGGAAUGCGCAGAUAUCAGGAGGAACACCGAUGGCGAAGGCAGGUCUCUGGGCCAUUACUGACGCUGAGAAGCGAAAGCGUGGGGAGCGAACAGGAUUAGAUACCCUGGUAGUCCACGCCGUAAACGUUGGGCGCUAGGUGUGGGUCCCAUUCCACGGGGUCCGUGCCGCAGCUAACGCAUUAAGCGCCCCGCCUGGGGAGUACGGCCGCAAGGCUAAAACUCAAAUGAAUUUGACGGGGA